CUAUCUGCUGCAGCCAGGUGAAAUGUGGGCGUGUCCUCGACCAGGUGAAAUGUGGGUGUGUCCUCGGCCAGGUGGAAGGUGGGAGUGCCCUUGACCUUCUCCUGUCUCUGGGGUCUUCAACACUGAGACACCUCUGUCCUGGAUCAUGUCCAAAGAAACUCCCCACAUGGA
Long non-coding RNA from Thalassophryne amazonica, 171 nucleotides. RefSeq lists it as uncharacterized. Lineage: Eukaryota; Metazoa; Chordata; Actinopteri; Batrachoidiformes; Batrachoididae. The record is from RefSeq and is a predicted model, not a curated record. The transcript has 3 exons.